CGACGCUGGCGGCAUGCCUAACACAUGCAAGUCGAACGAAGCCUUCGGGCUUAGUGGCGCACGGGUGCGUAACGCGUGGGAAUCUGCCCUUGGGUUCGGAAUAACAGUUAGAAAUGACUGCUAAUACCGAAUGAUGUCUUCGGACCAAAGAUUUAUCGCCCAAGGAUGAGCCCGCGUCGGAUUAGCUAGUUGGUGAGGUAAAGGCUCACCAAGGCGACGAUCCGUAGCUGGUCUGAGAGGAUGAUCAGCCACACUGGGACUGAGACACGGCCCAGACUCCUACGGGAGGCAGCAGUGGGGAAUAUUGGACAAUGGGCGAAAGCCUGAUCCAGCAAUGCCGCGUGAGUGAUGAAGGCCUUAGGGUUGUAAAGCUCUUUUACCCGGGAUGAUAAUGACAGUACCGGGAGAAUAAGCCCCGGCUAACUCCGUG
RNAcentral lists this ribosomal RNA (430 nucleotides) under uncultured bacterium. RNAcentral's name for it is "bacterial SSU rRNA". It matches the Rfam family "Bacterial small subunit ribosomal RNA", at positions 32 to 507 of the family's 1533-position model. The record is from RNAcentral.